This 492-nucleotide ribosomal RNA is filed under the name uncultured bacterium. RNAcentral describes it as "partial 16S ribosomal RNA". It matches the Rfam family "Bacterial small subunit ribosomal RNA", at positions 29 to 507 of the family's 1533-position model. The record is from RNAcentral.
AGUGAACGCUGGCGGUAGGCCUAACACAUGCAAGUCGAACGGCAGCACAGUAAGAGCUUGCUCUUACGGGUGGCGAGUGGCGGACGGGUGAGGAAUACAUCGGAAUCUACUUUUUCGUGGGGGAUAACGUAGGGAAACUUACGCUAAUACCGCAUACGACCUACGGGUGAAAGCAGGGGAUCUUCGGACCUUGCGCGAUUGUAUGAGCCGAUGUCGGAUUAGCUAGUUGGCGGGGUAAAGGCCCACCAAGGCGACGAUCCGUAGCUGGUCUGAGAGGAUGAUCAGCCACACUGGAACUGAGACACGGUCCAGACUCCUACGGGAGGCAGCAGUGGGGAAUAUUGGACAAUGGGCGCAAGCCUGAUCCAGCCAUACCGCGUGGGUGAAGAAGGCCUUCGGGUUGUAAAGCCCUUUUGUUGGGAAAGAAAAGCAGCAGGUUAAUACCCCGCUGUCCUGACGGUACCCAAAGAAUAAGCACCGGCUAACUUCGUG